CUUCUUAGCUCUAGUCUGUAGGAACAGUGAGGUGAGAGUGAUCAAGGUUGAGUUAUUGUGAUUAUGAAAAUUGGAGAGGUUGAGAGAGCUUCAUGAAUUUUGCUGAUAUAAAAUUGAGAGGGGAAUUUUGUGAAGACUGACUCGUCUCCACUCUGUGAGUUUGGUCCUUUUCUAUGGUUGAAGUGAAAGAGUGUGAUGAAUGAAUCGAGAGCUUUUAUUUGUGAGAGAUGUGCUGGAUUUAUAGAGUGAUGAAAGGGUGGUUUUAGUAUGAAUUUGAGUUUGAGAAUUUGUUGAAGCUGAGAAUCAAAAUGAAAAUGGAGAGUGUUUGUGAGGAAUGUGAUCAAUGAUUUUGGUUCAGAAUGAAAUGAUUCGAGAGACUUUUUAUGAUCAAUGAUUGAGUUAUUCAUUGGUGGUUGUGAGCAUUGGGAUUGUGAAAAAAUCAGUUAUGGAAGUUAGGAGUUUUUUGGAAAUCGAUGUUAGUUUGUUAUUCUAUAACUGACUUUGUGGUUCCCAAUGCAAUCAGUUAGGUUAAGUUGUUAUGAAGUUUUGAGUGAGGUUAGUGUUGGUUUUUGAAUGGUUAGUUAUGAUUGAGAGAAAACUCUGUUAUCAAGUGGUUGAGGGAGAUUUUGUAGAGGUUGAAACUUAGGCAUGAGUUGUAGAUGGUUAUAGUUUUGUUUCUGUUUGUUAUGCAGGGUCCUUGGUGGCACUUGUUAUUGUGACUAUUGUUCUUGAGGUGGCUAUGCAAUGUGGAGGUUCUAAUCCUAAUUUGGUUCUGCAUGAUGCAUUUGGUAGCUAGUAUUGUAGUCACUUGGCUUGGUUAUGGUGGUUUGCAUUCAUUCUGACUUUGAGCUUGGUUUAAGCAGUAUGGAAUCAUGGUUUUUGCUUUUGCAAUUCUGACUUGGCCUAUAGUGUAUUUUGCAAUCUUGUGUUUAGUUCCAUUGCCUAAUGACCUGGUUUAUUUUGCAGCAGGUCUCUUGUAAGUCAUGUGCACAUGGUAAUGGUGGUUGAAUAGUGCAACAUGAUGACAUCAAGAUUGGAAUCUGGAGCAUCAUGUACACAUGGCAAACUCAAGGAUCAAGGAUAAAAAAUUGGCCUUAGGAUUAGAAUUAAUUUGGACUUAGGGUUUUUGGAUGAAAAGGGGUUGAGUUGACUUUGGUCAACGUUGACCAAAAAGUCAAUUGUUGACCAAAGUCAACAAUUUGUCAACAUGUUUUUUGGGGUAUUUUUUACAUGUAAUGAACAUUAUAUGAUUAUGUAAUGAAUGGAAUUUACUAUUUUGAAUGAAAUUGGGUUGGUUUUUGAAUCUUGACAUUUUGUAUGGAAUUUGAUGUUUGUAUGAUCUUGUCUGAACAUGAUACUUGAAAUGAAUGAAUUUGCUAUGAACUGAUGAAUUUGAAUCAUGAACCAUUGUAUGAACAUGCUUGAAAUGGAUUGAAAUGAACUAUGGACAUGACUUGAACAUGACUUGUAAUGAACAAUGACAAGCAUGAAAAAAAACCUUAGUAAAGACCAAGAUGUACAAUGAAUUAGGACCUAACUGUAGCGGUAAAUUCGUGACCAUCAAGUUGUGGAUAAACUUGACGUCAGUAAAACCAGAGUCGCCACCGCACUUUUAUUAUUUCCAAAGGAAAAGGGAAAAGUACGAACAAAACCCAAAGAUAAGAAUUUUUCAAAUCAAAACUAAUAAAAUGCCAGAGAUUACAUGUAAGGGGGUUGGUUACACAGAGGGAAGGUGUUAGCGCCCAAAGUGUCCUAGGUACUCCUAGGGAGCCCUUUUUGUGUGCAUAUGUUUUUGGUAUAAAUGAUGUUUGAUAAAAUAAAGAGUGUGGGGAUGACAAAAGAAUUCAUUGAUUAUAUUUUUUGUGUUUGACAAGACCUUCGGUCUUAUGCCUACGUACCAACAUAAAAAUGAGGGAUCAAAACUCCGUAGUUCGUGGUAAAAAUUUCAAAGAAAUUAGUGAAUUAAUUUUAACAAAGGUUUAAUGAAAAUGCACAAAAGGCCAAAGAUUUGAAUGGGGUUGUUAGCUCUUUUUGUCUUUUGAAAUUUAAGUCAAUAUAUUUAAGUUUACUUACAAAUUUGAUUUAGGAAAAGAAGUUUAAAAAAUUCAAUGGCAUAAGGCCAAAGUUUCUAAUCAUUAAAACAUGUCUAAGUUUGAAAUCUCAAGCAAAGAAAGUUUUUGAAAAGAGGGAGAGAUUUUGAAAUUAAAGAAGUGUGAGGAUAUGAAGAGACUACCCUAAGCAGAAAUUUAAAAGUUAAGAGUUAAAAAGAUCUGACCAAUGGGAUGCAAUCCAACAGACAAGAAUGUCAUAUAGAAACCCAUUUUCCUUUGGACUUUAAUAGGCAAUAAGCAAUAAACAAUGAUCAAUGAGCAACAUCUAAGCAUCAAGUGAAAACCAAUGCAUCAAAUAAAGAUAUCAUAUCCAAGCAAGCACUCCAAUAGCUAGCAGUCUUCAGUGUCUUCCAAUGUAUCAGAUGAAAUAUUCCUUGAUCAACUCAAAACAAAAACAUCAGACAUAGACAAUAAUAAAAUAACAAUUAAGCACAGAGACAGAGUAAAAGAUGAAUCAAAGAUAUCUAAGGUUCUGCGUCAGAUGAAGGCAUAGUCAAAGAUAACUCAGUCUCAGAUGUUGGUGUUGGCCAAGUCCUUUAGCACAUGGAAUGUUGCCUAGUUCUAAGUCCAAAAAUUCAGAUCAAGUCCCAACAGUCUAACAAAUGUUUUUUAAGGUUUUUGUUGUUACUAUGUAUUUUAAGGUCCUAAGACCACAAACAGAAUCAGAACACACAAACAAAUAUAUACAAUCACAAGAUAUGGCUCAAAUGAACAAAGUGAAAAGGAAUGAAACAUAAACAAGUUAUAUGAAAUGUAAAUGGUGGAUGAAUGGUAAAUGAAUGAAAUUUAAAUUGCAUAAAGUAAAUGACUUGAAAUUAAAAGCAUAAUAAAUAAGAGUUAGUCAAUGGUUAGUCAAAUGUUAGUGUUGAGUUUUAAUUGAUUAAGUCAUUCUUUGGAGAACACUCAACCAUUCAUUCACAAGUAUGAACCCUUAAAUCAAGACAUCUUCCAUAAGAAGGGCUCCAACUUGGAUAAUUCAACAAGUAUGUCACUAGCUCUCAUGAAAGGAAAAGAGGUCAAGUUUCCACAUAAUUCCAUGAAGAAUGGGAGACAUACAAUCUCACUUGCGAGAAUAGUAUGCUGUGAAGGUCAAAUUUAUCUCUAUGUUAAGCAAUCAUAAUUGGACUUAUGUAGAAGUCACAACUAUCUGAGGUCGGGCAAUAAAAAUAUAGGUGUUAAUUCAUGUUAGAGAUUUGAUACAAAGAACCAAACUCCUAAAACAUACCACACACUAAAAGAAAAUGGGAAGGACCUAUCUCAGUCAGACUUGUAUUGAUUCAUCUGACACAAGUUCAUUGAUGAAUAAAUUAGCAUUUAGACAUUAAAUGAGGGAUUGAGAAACAAAAGGGAUGAAGAUGAAGAGGGAAGGGGAAAUAGAAACACAAAUUGAUCAUGAGAGGAAUUUCAUUUGAUCAAACCAUCCAUUCAUUUUGAGAGAGGAAAUAUACAUUUCAUCAAUCCCCUAAAUCCAAUGGUUUUGAUCAAACAAAAGUCAUAUCAACCAUGACCAAGGUCCAAACAGAAAUUCAAACAUCACAAGACCAUAAAAAUGGCUCAACAUGAUUUUAAACAUUUAAUCAAUUAAAAAUGAAUUAAAAUGCAUUUUAAUUUUGACAAAACCUCAAAUCCCUUCAAAACACCAAAUAAAUGCUCAAGGGAUUUAUCCUAGGUCAAACAAGGUCAAAGGACCUUAGACAAAAAAUUUCAUAAUUUUUAGACAGUCAGAAGUAUUUUAAAACAAUUAAAAAUAUGCACAAAAAUAUUUAAUUCAUGAAAAAUACCAAAGUUAAUCCAAAAAAUAUUUUUAAUUCAAAAUAUGGAAGAGAAAAAUAUUUUAAGAUUUUUGGUGAAAGUCCCAUAUAUUUUGGAUAAAAAAUUGAUUUAUUAUGAAUUACACAAAACAAGGCUAUUAAAAAAUAAAAUCAGAAAUUAAAAUAAAUGAGAAAAAACAAGGGCCACCAGAUCUCCCUCAUUAAUUGAGGUGGCAGAUCUGAUGGCCAAGCGCGCACGUUCCACAAUGGUCCUUAUUCAAUGCACAGUAGGUUUGGUAAUCACAAGGAAAGACUGAGAUUAGAACAUUUCAAAUAGAUCAGAUGGCCAGGAUGCACACCAGCACAUCAUCGGAGCCCUAUCUCCGAUCAUCUUCUUCGGUGGACCUCACAGGACUGGUCCACCAUCAACCACCACCAAAAUGAAAACUAAGGACAUAACUUUAAAGGAAAAAUGCUCAAGAGCUCGAUUCUGACCUCCAUUUCAUCCAAUUCCAAGUAUAUUGAAAGAUACAUGGAUUUGAAAUUUGAGGUGCAUGAUCAGAGUUGCUUUGAUUUGACCUCAAAGCAACUCAAUAUUAUUGCCUAUAUUGGUAGGACUUCAGUCAACCAAUAAUCAAUCGAAAUAGUUGAUAAAUGAGGGAGAAUCGAAGAAGAGAAGUUUGAGAAAAAUCACCUUCGGGUAUCUUCAAUUCAGCUUGAUCUUGCUUCCAAUUUGUCUUGGCUCGACUCUAAAAGCUUGUAGGAAGUGAAAUGGAUUAAUGAAAGGCUUGCAUUCUUGGAGUUUCAAUCUCAAAAUAGAAGGAGGAUUGAAACUCGAUUUCAAGUGAUAUCUUUAAGUUUAUCUUUUAAUGGAGGUUAGGGAAGCAAUUCUUCAAUGCUUAGCCAGAAGGGAUCCUCAUUCUAAUCAUUAUGGACAUGUAUUUAUAGGGUUGUGCAUUGCUUUUCACACACUUGAAAAUUUUGCCAAAUUUAGCAACAUUGAUGCAUAGAUGCAUGGCCAUUGAUUUGGGCCUAAUCCAUGAUGUAAUCUCACUCCAAUUCGUGCAUAAUGGAUCCUGAGACAAUAACAUGUAAGCAUGCAAAAGGAAAUGGUCACUUGAAUCCAAAACUUGCCAAAACAAACCCAUCAAAGGAACCACAUGCAAGUCCCUCAAUUCUUGUCUAAAUAAGGUGAGCUUGGACUUUUUAGAAAGGUGUCAUCAAGGGAAACAACUUUUAUGUUUAACACUUUUCCAUUUGGAUCUUUGAUCAUGAUGAAAUUUGAGGCGGAAGUUGGAGAAAUUAAACAUAAUUGAGAUUUUUCUAAGUACCAAGUCAAAUGACCACUUCUUCCUCCUUGAAUAACAUUUGCUAUGAGCUCCAAAUGAAAAUGGGUUCUUAACCAAAGUUGUAGCUCUUUCAUCCCUCUUAAAUUUGGUCACAAAUUUGACAUCAUUUGGAUUUGGCAUGAGGGAGUUAUGCAUUUUAGACGUUGAUGAAAAUUGCUUGUUCAAUGAUGAUGGCCCAAAAUGACCUAUAACGUUUCCUCUUGGCACAUGCCCUUGAAAGUUUGUUUUGACAUUUCUCAAAGAAAAAAAGUUGGAGAAUACAUCUUCAAUUUGAUCAUGGAACUUGGAUGUCCUUCAUCUCAUACAAAUUGAGCAAGUUAUGGUCCUUGGAAGUUGACCUCCUAACUAGGGCACAUACAAAAUGACAUAUAAUAUUUCACCAUAAAAAAUGACUUUCCAAGAAAAAAUAGAUCUUGAUGUCAACAUGUUUGGAAUGUAAUAAAGAGUAACGUUUAUAUUGGAAUCAUUUUCAUAUGACAAAAAUUAUAGGAGAUAGGGUCUAGGGAACCCCAGUUUUGACUAGUUGACUUUCUUUGGUCAACCUCUUUGAACCAACUUGCAAACUUGAAGCUCUCUUGAUAUUUAGGAGUCAUGGAGUAUCAUAUAUGCAUAAGAUGAUGUAUAAUAAAGUAUGCCUUGGAAUAUUUGACCAAAUGUUGAAGAAACUUGCUGAGGAAGUCACACAAGAUACCCAGAUGAGUUAGGGCUUCCAAGACAAACAAGCUUCAAACUCUUGAUGAAUUCUUGAUCAAAAUGACAAAUAAAUAACAUGGGGGUCCAUAUAUUAUGUUUAGAAACAAUAUGGACCAUUGUUUAAUUGACCUCUUGCACUAACGGUCUCAAACCCUAGUUGUGAGCUUGAUGAGGCAUCGGUGGAUGCACACACUACCUACAAAAGAAACAAAGUUAUACAUAGAAAUAUUUUUGGCAUUUUGGUUAGUAAGCAAAAUAAAAUAAAGUAUGAUAUAAUCAAAUUUUAUUGGCGAUCUUUCCUAAUGCAAACCCAAUGAAUGAGGGGUAAGGAGGAUGCCAAGGUGUGAUCCCAAAGCCAAUGCAAAUGAUGAGAUAGCAUGAGGGAUCUCAGAGUCAAAAUCGGGGUCUUACACUAAUAAAAGAUUCAUGGACCAAGCACCAAUGGAAAUUUAAAUGGCAUGAAAUGGACUUAAAUAACAUUGACCAGAUGAAACCAAGCAAGGCAUGGACUAGGAACUUGAAGUGACCAAAUGAAAUAGGCCUAAGCAAGACAUGAACUUGGACUAGAUAUGAAGAAAUGAUCAAAUAAAAAGUUGUGGAAUGGAAGCAAAUGAAGGUUGUGAGGCCAUGUACUUGGGAUCAAACAAAUGGACACAAGCAUAAUAUGAAUGGAAUCAACAUCAAGGAACCAACAUGAAUGAGCCAUGAACAAGAGACUAUUGAAUGAAACUUGACCAAGCAAGAGAGGGAAACACAAAUGGGUGAAAAAGAAUCAGAUGAAGUUAGGGUUAGGAGCCCACACAAUGAGUACUAGACAUCAUUAAGAUUUAUGGGGCCAUGAUCAAGUGGAAACCCUAAAUUAGGGUUUUGCUUCACAAUAAGCCACAGUUGAGUUUCCAAUGUCAGGAACAUACACAAGAAUCAAGAGAUACCUCCAAUAAGGUUUGGUUGACUGAGAAACCCCAAGCUACUAGGAAACCCUAAUUUCCACUAGGUACAAGCACCAAGCUUUGCAUCCAAAAUACCUAUUCUCUUUGUAGCGGUAAUAUUUUUGAGAUUAAGCUAUUAAUUAACUUAACUCAUAAAGUAAGAGUCACCACCGCGCUUUUAUUAUUUCCAAAUAAAAGGGAAAAAGAACAAAUAAAACCCAAAGAAGUUUUAAAACAAAACUAAUAAAAAAGAGAUAAGGGUUCGGGGGGUUAGUUAUGCAAAGGGAAUGUAUUAGCACCCUAAACAUCCAUGGUACUCUAUGGGAACCUCUUUGAAAAUUUGUGCAUUUUGGCUUUAAAAUUAGGUUGUUUGCAAAAGAUAAGUAACAAAAGAUGUUUGUUUUGAUUCAUUUUUAAUGAAAACAUAUUUUGUCAUUUUAAGAAGAAUACUCGACUAGUCACCCACAAGUAUGAGAACUUUACAUCACCACAGAGAAGUGUUCCAACUUCGAUAAAGAUCAACAAGUAUUCCACUAGCUCUCUUAGGUGGAAAAUAAUUAUCAUCAAUACUAUGGGGAUAGGAGAAUUAUAUCUCAACUAUGGAAAUGACUCGUGUCUAAACUUUAAGAAAAAGUUUUUAAAAGAAAGAAGUGCACAAAGGGCACAAAAAUAUUUUGAAUGAGUUAUAUAUUUUUUAGUCCUUUUGAAAUUGGUCUGAAUAUGCUUAAGGUGUAUUAGAAUUUAUUAAGAAAAAGGUUUUGAAAAUUACUUGACAAGAGUCAAGGUUUAUUAAGAAAGUGGUUCAAGUUUGAAAAGAGAGAGGAGACUUUGAAAAUCAAAGAAGGAGGGGAGAAGAAGAGACUGUCCUAGAGCAUAAAGUAAAAUCUAGGGAGGAAACAUAUAACCAAAAGAUAACAAGAUUUAUGACAUAAGUCAAGCAAGAAUUCCCUCUUUUAGAUUAAGCCUCAAGCAAGCCAAAUAAGAAAAGAAUAAACCAUGCAUCAGAUGAAACCGAAGUAACCAAGCAAAGUCUUCAAAAGAAGUCCCAAGUCAAAGGCACCAGAUGAAUCCCAAGGCAUCAAAUCGCAAGCUUCCAUAGUAAGGGUCAAGGUCUUAGUUCUAAGUCCAUAACUCUACAAGAAUUCUAAGGAUAGUAACCACAAGUUCAUGAAUCAAAAGAACAUAAUUUUCAGGUUUGUUUCCCUUUAUUAAUGUCUUAAAAGGAAAAGAAGUCCAAAUGGGCAAAGAACAAAUAGCAUAAGCAAUAAACAAUAUGAGAUGAGAUGCUAAAAAUAAAAGCAUAAAGUAAAUGACAAAAGAGUAAAGAGCAUAAGAUAAAUGGCAUUAAUGUAAAAAAUAAUACAAUAAUAAGUUAAUAAGUGAUGUUAGUAAAUUGUAUUAGUGAUAAAAAAUGAAAGAUGGUUUUGUCAUUUUUUGGAGAACACUGAACUAUUCAUCCACAAGCAUGAAAGUAUGAACCUAUACAUCACCUUGAGAAGGGCUCCAACUUGGAUAAAAUCAACAAGUAUGUCAAUAGGUCUCACAGGUGGAAAGGAGACUUACAAUCUCACUUAUGAAAAUGACUUACUUUCGGGGGAAAUUUAGCGUUAUGUUAAGCAAUCGCAAUUGGACAUAUAUAGAAGUCACAACUACUUGAGAUUGGUCAAUAAAAAUAUUUGUGUUAAUACAUGCUAUAGAAAUGAUAUAUAAAUCUUUCUCCUAAAGCUAUGCAAAAAAAAAGGGAAGGAUCAAGGACAAACUUAUGCAUCAAUCAAAACUACCUUAAAUGAUCCAUGAUCAAUUAGGAGGUAGAUUUGAAAUAAUUAAAGUUCAUCAAGUACCAAUCCACACAUCAUGAACAAGAUGGACAUAAAUCAUCCAAUUGAUCAAGAGGAAAAGGAAGAUAAGGGGAUAAAGAAGAAGAGGGCAAGAGAGAUCACACUCAAAUUGGAUCAAAGGAUUGAUCAAGUCAUCAUCAAAAUCAAUCAUCAAUUUUGGUGGAUUAGGGUUUUCACUCUAUCAACACCUAAGAUCCAUUGAGUUUGAUGAGACCUAUGAUCAAAACAACCAUGAUUCAAGGCCAACAGAAGUCAACAAUGGUCAAAAAAAUAUAUAAUGCAAAGAGAUAAAAUAAAAUGCAUAAAAAAUAUUUUAAAAAUGAAUUUUAAAAGGGAAUAAAAGAGAAAAUCCAUAAAUUCCUUCAAAACACCAACUAAAUGACUAAGAAAAUUAUGGAAGGUUGGAAAUAAAAUAAGAAGCAUAUAAUAAUUUUGUCAGAAUUUUUAAAUGCAUAAAAGUAUUUUUAAACCAAUUAAAACAAGGGAGAAAAGAGACAAUUCAAGAAAAAUAUAAAAUAAAGAAAACAAAAUGUUGAAAAAUAAAAAUCAAAUGAAGAAAAAUAAAAGAGAAUUUUAGAAUUUAUUUUGGUGUUUUUUGGAUGCAAAAUGAAUUUUCUAUGAAUUUUUUAAAGAAAAUGCAAUUUAAAAUAAAAAAGAAAAGGAAAUAAAAUCAGAAAAAACACAUAGCAUUGGAUCUGACUUCAUUAAUUGAUGUUGAAGAUCCAACAAUCACAAGGAUUGGGAUUCACGGUGGAAAUUAGCCAAAAUAAAACAUGGGAUCUAAUUUAAAUUGGACCAAUCAAAACAUUUCAAAUGUCCAGGGUGUCUUCAAACUUAUAUGACCUGAGAUAAACUUCGUUCAUCUUCUCCGAUGGUCCCUCGUCGGAGUUUCAUCGUUUGGUAAAUUCAGAACAAGAGACCACCAGCAAUGUGAUCGCCUUCUCGUCACGAAUUCAACCUCAUGCUCCAAAUUCAUUUAUCUAAAUUGAGCAUGGGGAAUUUCAAAGAAGUUUCAGAAAUAAGAAAGCCACAAAAAAUAUAAUUAAAUGAUGAACACGAUCAAUCAACACCAGAUAAGUUAGGGGAAAGCAUCAGGGACUGAAGGACUACAUUCUGGUAACUUGUUUGAGUGCAAAUGAUGCUCAGAACUACCUUAUCCAAAUGGUGAUCAGAAGUUGAUGAAGCUCGAUUUGGUUAGAGCCCUUCAGGUGGUCUGGGAGCUUGGGAAUUUUUGCAAAAUCUCCAGAGAAGACCAAAGGUGUUAAUGGAAUCAAGAAAUUGGAUUGAAACAAGCUGGAAUUCAAAACACGAUAGUUGAAUUUUUCUGGAAAAUUUCAGAUUGAAGUAGGAAUUUCUUGGCUCUCAAAAGCUUAGAAAUGAAUGUAGUAACUUCCUAUAUUUAUAGGGAAUGUGUUUGGAUCUAAAUACGUGUGGAAUCAAGCUUAAUUCGUGCAAAACGAAUUUGAACAUGAAGUGAGAAAAAUGUGACUUCCAAUCCAUCAAAACUCAACCAAAUGAUGUGUUUCAAGGGUAAAUUAACUUCUGGAGACUUGGUUAAACAUGUUUUGGUCCAAAACGCGUGCUAAUUUGGCUUGGAGUUGAGAUUAGUUAAGUUCAAAUUUCAGACCAUGGUGAUUUCUUCAGUUCCAAGUCACCAUGUUCAACUCAAUGGGGCAUCUUGCUCAGGAGGCUUUUUGAUCCUAUUCUUUUUGCAAUGUGUUGAAAUAAUAACAAGGAUUAGAAUGUGUCAAGAAAGGUUGCAUUUGGAUGCUUAAACAAAAAGUUAUGGCAUGUUGAAGUUGGCACGAAAAACUGGUCAUGUAACUUAGAAAAUUCUAUGUCCCAAAUGGUUGAAAAUGACAUAUAAUGUCUCAAUGAAUUUCGUGGCCUUCCAAGCAUAAUUGGAAUUUUAUCCUUGAAGAAAACUUGUAGAGGACAUCACAAAUUAUAUUGUAAAAAAAAUGAUCAGCAUCAAAUUUUGAAAAUUGAAUAAGUUAUAAUCCUUGAAAGUUGAGAAAAAGUCACUUGGAAAUAGGUCAAAUUUUACUAAGUCCACAAAUGACCUAUAAUGUCUCCAAACUUUUGACGAUCCUCCAAGCAUAAUUGGAUAUUGUCAUGUAAAGAGAAGUUGUAAGAAGAGUAAUAUGCAAAAAUAAUAAUUCAAAAAAUUUGAGAAUUGAAGGAGUUAUGAUCCUUUGAACUUUGACUUCAGAUGUUGACUUUUUGGUCAAACCACUUGGAACAAACUUGUGCACUUGAACUUUUCAUGAAUUUCAAGGUACAUGGAUGAUCAUAUGAACUAAAAAUAAGGUAUCCUUGAAUGUCUCUUGAUUGAAUUUCUCAAAGUUUGAGGUAACUUAUUGAAGAACGCAUGAAAAUAAACACAUGAACCUUUGACUUUUCUUGAGAAGUAAGCCACAAGACUUUGAGAUGCUCUUGAUCCAAAUGAGAUUGAAAGGUUCUUGAGGACCUUGAAGAUCAUGUUUGAGAGAUAAGCCUCUUGAUAGUAAAUGGUUGAGCACACUUUACUGAGGAGUCAAAUAAACCCUAGCUGAUGAGCCAUGUUUGAUGCUCUUGAUGGAAAAGCCUUACCUUGCACAAUAAGCUUUAAAGAAAACAAAACAUAUUUUUUACAUUUUUAUUAGUGGCUAUAUAAGAAAUUAACAUAUAAACACAAAGGUAAAACACCAACAAAGAGGUGCUUGAUGAUCCCUGCAAAAGGCAAACCCAAUGAUGAGAGGGAGAGGGACCAAGAGGUGAUCUUGUUUGUAUGCAAGGAUGCAAAUGGUAUGUGGGAUCUUAGGGUUAAGAAUUAGGGAAUGACACUCUUGUAUUGAAUAAUGCUCAUGCAAAUGGAAUGAGUGACCAUGAGAACAUGAAUAUGAUUAAGGUUAGUGACCUAGAUGAACAUUGUAAAGGUAGGGUAAAUUUUAGGGUAUAACACUCGCUUCAUAAAAAAGGAAAUCAUUUGCCGUUAUAGGAUUCCCAACAAGAUCAUUAAUGACAAUGGAUUGAAUCUUAAUAACAAUAUGAUGAAAGAGUUAUGCAAAAAUUUCAAGAUCGAACAUCAUAACUCAUCACCAUACCGUCCAAAGAUGAAUGGUGUUGUUGAGGCAGCAAACAAGAACAUUAAGAAGAUUGUUCAAAAGAUGGUAAAAACAUACAAGGAGUGGCAUGAGAUGCUACAUUUUUCCUUACAUGGAUAUCAUACUUUAGUAUGCACUUAAAAUGGGGCAACUUCAUUCUCUCUCGUAUACUACAUGGAUGCAGUACUUCAUGUGGAAGUAGAGAUUUCGUCACUAAGGAUCUUAACAGAUAUGAAGCUUGAAGAAGUUGAAUGGGUUCAAACGAGGUUGAUCAACUUAACCUUAUUGAAGAAAAGCGCAUGAUAGCCCUCUGCCACGACCAAUUAUACCAGAAACGAUUGAAGAAAGCAUUUGAUAAGAAGGUUCGUCCUCAAAAUCUCCAAGCAAGCGACCUAGUGUUGAAGAAGAUCCUUCCAAUCCAUACAGAUUCAUGGGUGAAGUGGAUACCCAACUAUGAAGUACCAUAUGUUGUAAAUAAAUACUUCUCUAUAGGAGCUCUGAUUCUUACAACUAUGGAUUGUAAAGAUCUCCCACUACUAGUGAACUCAUAUGCAGUAAAAAAAUACUUCGCCUAAAAAUACUCGCUAAAUCAAAAACCCCGAGGGGCGACUUAGGCAACAAUGGGCAUCCCAACGGACCACAAAAAGAAAGUUCAAAGCAAAAAUUAAGGAUAAAAUUAAAAGAAAUAAAAGAACACGCAAAGUUGAAAACCCCAAUGGGCAACUUAGGCAAAAAAAAAGGGUAUCCUUGUGGGCUGAAAACCCGAAAGGGCAGUCCAAAAAAAAGUUAGGGAUUUAAAAGGCAAUAGGACACGGUCUGCGAAGAAUAUGUGAAUCCACUAACACCAUGGAAACCCCAAAUGGGAGAAUCGAUCCGGUCACUCUUCUCAGAAACAAAGUACCAGUAUCUUGAAGGAUAUAUGGAUUAUAGAAGAGUUGGAAAUCAAUGGAAAUCAGAGAUUUUCUCAUUAUCAUUUUUGUUUUUUUGUUUUUCUCAAUGACCUCUUUUAGGAAUUGCUUCCUUAUGUAAUCACCCAUUUACAUGUCAACUUCUUAUUAAUAAAAAUCUCUUUUAUUAAAAGUCCUUCUUGUUCUUACCUUUCUUGCUUUUUUGCAAAAUAACAAUUUAUUUUUAAUAAACAAUGCAUUGGAAAAUUUGGGGAUAGUAAAAAGCAUUGAAAGAAACACGAAAUUACUUUUAUUUUGAAAUGUCUGAAGGAUAACCAUGAUUUCCAAAUAAUGCAUUUGGUGCACAGGACAUAAAAUCACAAAGGUUUCCUUGACCUAGCAAAUCACAAGAACCUUCAUUCUCUCAGGAUGAUCGACACACAACUUGCCAACAUAGAUCAAACCUAGGACAUUAGAAAAGAUCAAGUCACCAUUGGUACCUUCAAAACCCAAUCCUAUUUGGCAUCUUAAAAAUCUAGUCACCAUUGGUAAUCGUCUUCAUUGACACCAAUCAAUAUAGGUAUACAAAAGCAUUGCUUCACUUUGAUCCUUUUUACAAAGAGCACCAGGCCUCACAUAUCAUAUUCAUAACAAAAGCCUGAUCAUACAUCGACAUCUUGCAUAUAGUAUCCAUCAUUACAUGGCAUUGCAUCACUAAAACAUGUAUUAUAUCCAUCAAAAUGGAGUAUUACACAAUACAGAUCCAAACAUGUAUACUUAACAUAAGCCAAGAUUUAAGCCUUUCUCGAAAGCAUAGACAAAUCCUUAGUCGAGAUAGUGUAUUUCUUCGAAGAGAACAUCAUCCCCAAAAAAGUCUUAUUUGGCAUCCCCAACAGGUUUCCCUCAAAACAUUCUUUCUUUAUUUGUCUUUUACAAAUAUUAUUGGCCUUUUUCCAGUAUUAUAUGCCUUUUGCAUAUGAAAUUUAUAUACCAAUCAUCUUGUCUUUCGCAAUUUAUUGUUUCCUUUUGCACAAGAUAAUUGUCUCCCAUUUUGCAUUUAUCUUUUGUUAGUCCCCUCAACCUUUUGCACAAGGGAUAUGUCAGUCCCCUUACCUUUUGUAAAGUUUCUUAUGCCUUUUGCAUUAGGAUUAUCAUCUCCGAUAUACUUGCCUUUUGCAAGUCUCUUCGUUCCUUUUGCAUGGGAAGUUUCUCUUUCUACUUACCUUUUGUAAGUCCCUCUUUCCUUUUGCAUGGGAAGACCCUUUUUUUUUAUCCUUGCCUUUUGCAAGUUCUCUCAGCCUUUUAUGCGAGGAAUUAUAUUUCUAACAUACUUUCCUUUUGCAAGUUCCCAUUGUCUUUCGCAUGGACAUAUUCAUUUAUUUACACUUACCUCUUGUACGUACCUGUCGCAUCUCGAAAAAUACGAUCUCUCGCGGUGGCCGCGGAAAAAUUGAUUCGAACAGAGUCGCCACCGAACUUUAUUUAUCCCAAUGAAGGAAUAGGAAAAUAUCGAUAAAACCUUUCAAAAAAUGGAAUAAUGGUCGUCGCAACCAUAUUCGGGUUCGGGAGUCGAUUACAUAAGGGGAAGGUAUUAGCACCCCUCACAUUCGUUGUACUCAAUGGGAACGUUUUAGUUUAAUUUGUGAUUUGACUGUUAAUUAAAUGUUGUUUGUUUUCUUCGAGUGAAUAAAGGAUUAAAAAUAGAGAUGGAUGGAAACCUCAGAAAGGGGGAAAGGGAGGUUUUUUUAUUAGUGUGCUCGUCAAGAUCUCGCAAUCUCGUGCCUACGUAUCCUUAUGGUGCAAUAAGGAAAUCAGAGCAUUCGUAGUUUGGGAAACUACGGUUGGUGGGUGCCUUUUAAUGAAUGAAUGUUUAGAUCGUAUUCUAAAGGCUAAAUAUUGGCUUGUCUACUCUCGGCGGAGGCUUAAGUACUAGUUUGUUGUGCGCGUUAGAAAGGAUUAAACAGUGUUCUUUUUUAAAAGAGUUUUGAUUGCACGGGGGCGAGGAAAGAAGUUUGAUAUGUUGGAUGUGUUUUAAUGAACAAGUGCUUAGAUCGGAUUCUAAUGGUUAAAUAUUGGCUUGCAUGCUCGCGGUGGAGACUUAAGCACUAGUUUGUAUAUGCAUUAGAAAGGAUUAACCAAUGUUAUUUCUGAAAAGAGUUUUAUUGUUGAUCACACAGUAAGAGGAAUUAAGUUUAAUGUGUUUGGUAUUUUUUAUAAGAACGACAAAAAAUUGAGCAAUAUGGUGCACACCAAUCGUUCAAUUAUUCGAGGAAUAAUAAGGCGAACGCCUCCUAUUUCCUUUUUCGUUCAGAUUAGUAUUAAAAGUUGUUUGUGGAAAUCGAAUAUGCACGGUAGUAAGGCGAACGCCUCUCACUUGCUUAUUCAAGGAAUAAUGAGGUGUGCACCACCUAUUCCUUUAUCCAAGUUUAUUUAAAGUAUUAUAAUCGGACGACGAGAGUUCAAGCAAUAUGGUGAGCGCCAAUCAUUCGAAUAUUUAAGAGAUAGUGAAGUGAAUGCCUCUAAUACUCUUUUUCAUCCAAAGUUCAUUUAAAGUGUUUUAAUCGGACGACAAGAAUUCGAGCAAUAUGACGAGCGCCAAUCAUUCGAAUACUCAAGAGAUAGUGAAGCGAACGCCUCCCAUUAUCUUUUUCAUCCAAAGUUUAAGUUAUAAAAGUAUGUUAUUAGAAGUUGUAUCUAUUUUAAAAAUGAUUUGAAUUUGCACGAUUAAUCAGAUUUAGAUAGAAAUACUUGGUGUAUAAAUGCUCUAAUCAAUUUAAUUAUAAUCGAGUAGGUCUAAUUGUAAGAAAGCCCAAGAAUAAGCUAUGUGACGUUGAUGGCGAUGCUAAAAGCAAUCGACUUACAAAGGUGUUGAAAUUGGCUCGACAUUGAAUUGAGAGUUAUGUGAUUUAUUUUAUUGAGAUUGGUUUGAAUUGAUCGCAAUGCGCUCAAAACCGGUUAGUACGAAAUGACAACAUGAUUAAUGUCAUAUGCAAGAGUCAUAAUGCGACGAAAACACCAAAUUCAUUUGAUGAUAUGACGACACAUGACUUAUAUUGAAACCAACGGAUUCAACCCAAUUAACAGAAAACUAAUUACCUAAUUAAGAACUAAUUAAAUAGAAUUUAAUAAAAUAGCUAAAUACUAAUUCAAGUAGUUAGAUUAAUAAAAAGUUAAAGGGAAUGAGAUUAGGUGUAUAAAUAGGCGGUGGGGUAAAAAUAUUAGGAAGUCUGCUUAAGCCCAAAAUUGACAAGCUCAUAUUUAACAAUAUGCCCUAACCUAAAUUCUAACAUAAUAAGAAAACAAAAUAUAUUAAGCACAAUAGAGAAACCGUGAAUCUGUUUUAUAACAUUCAAAUAACCAUAAUCCAUAGGAGUAAGACACAUGGAACGCCCCCAUUUGUGAGAAAAAUAAUAUAUAAAAAAAGGAUAGAAAAUUGUAAUGAACGAGAAUUGAAGCAAAAUACAUUUAUCACUGCAAAAUAAUAAUCCUCCUUCAUGCUUCAGUAUCUCUCUAUUGAAAACAUAAUCAUAUUCAAAUAAUACUUCUAAUUUUAAAGAAAAAACAAUAAGUUGAAAUGAAGAGAAUACAAGAAAGUUAGCGAACCGGAGGAUUGUAAACUAUUGGAUGGCAGAGGUGACAGGUGGUUUUGCUAUGAACAAGAGGCGCUAAUGAAGGCGAUGGUAGACAAGGAUGAAUGAAAGUAUGCUCCGGUGGCAGUUCAUAGUUGUUUCCGGAGUGAUUCGCGGCGGGUUUGGGUUGGUGUUUCUCGGGCGUGUUUCUUCGUCGGCGACUAGUUUGGAGGUGGUGUGCGGUUUUUUGUGAAAGAGUGUUGUAGUUGUUUCCGGAGUGAUUCGCGGCGGGUUUGGGUUGGUGUUUCUCGGGCGUGUUUCUUCGUCGGCGACUAGUUUGGAGGUGGUGUGCGGUUUUUUGUGAAAGAGUGUUGUUCAAACUUGAAGUUUGGUGGUGAUAGUUUUGUAUGGUCGUAGGAUAUUUCGCUGUGGUACAUCGAAGUUUCACGAUGAUUCAAAAAUGGAGAUUCACAGCUUGUAUCUUUACCAAACAUUGUCAGUGAACAUCAUUCAAUAAUUUGCGACAUGAAAAUAAAUGGUGAAGUUGAGUCUUUGACGGAGAUGAAGGAGAAGUGUUAUAGCUUUUCUUUUGACUUGCUUUCCUUUUCUUUUUGGAGAGGUUUUGAUAUAUGUAUGUGGCUUUGAUGAAAAAUGAAGAAGGUUUUGUUUUUUAGUGGAAUGGCUAUGAGGUUUAAGGUGGAGAAGUGGAAGUGAAAAAGUGGAAAUGGUGAGUUAUAGGAAGUUUUUUUUAAGGUGGUUUUAUGCUUAGCAGUGGGGAAGAAGUUGAUGGGAGUAUUUGACGCGGUUGUCCGGUUGUGGAAGUUUAUGUGCUCUGAUGGUUUACAUAAAGGCCAACGGCGAUGAUGUUGCUAUAAAACAUGGAGGAUUGAAGGUGACAGUUGAGUUUCAUGUUUGUGCAUUUGAAGAUGUGUGAAAGAGGCUUGUGUAGUGGUGGUUUUUGAGAGGAAGAUCAAAGAAUGUGGUGUGGACGGAGGAGAAGAAUGGAGAUGAGGAAAGUUUGUAGGUGGGUGGCUCACGGAAGCAGUUUCGACGGUGGGAGUCUUUUUGGAGGAAGGAAAUUUUUUCUUUUUCUAAGAGGUUGAAGAAUCAUUACAAAAAGGUUCCAAAAAUGAAAAAAGGAGAGACUCCUUAUGUACGUUCUCUCUUUCCUCAAUCAAAAGUGAUGUCCCCCCUUUCAAGGCUGCGUUUGCCCAUCUGCGAUAAAAGAAUAACCACUUUUUUGUCUCUCCACUUGAUAAUGGACACUUGUUGCCUCAUGAAUGGAUAUAGUAAGAUAUUUUUUUAUUCAGGAUUUAAAGAAGCCCCUCCGCGUGUCCAAAAUGGAGUGGAAAGUUGGGAGAUAUUUUCUUCACUUUCUAUUUUUCUUUGUUUAAUUAUUUAUUUAAAUUCUAUUUUUAAUUGGAUGAAUCGUAGUCACAUGGAUCACUAAUAUGGGCCCUUGGUUAACCCCAAUUUAAUGGUCGAGAUCAAAUCAAAGAAACAUAAAUUGUAACCAACUUUAAAAAUCUAAAAUGCCUCAUUCUAGAUGAUUUAACUGAAUUAAAUGGGAUUAAAUCAAUUAACUCCAAUAAAACUCACUGUUUUCUAAAUAAAUAUGAUAAAAAUAAAAUGAAGACAUGGAAGUUCCUAUUUAAAUAUUCUGAUUAUUUUGACAAAAGAACAAAAUUAAAACGACUAAAAAUGAAUAAAAGUCGGGCGAAAAUUUGCUCGAAAAAUUAAAUCGGAUGCACUAAAAUGAUCAACACGAAAUAAACUUAUUGAAAAAAUACAGCAUUUCUUUUAAUUUCGAAAUAAAUUUUGAUCGGUUAAAAGGCUUAGGCGGAUCAAAAUGCAACUGAAAAAGUCGUCGAAAAAUAUAACGAGCACACCAGGUUAAACUACGCGAAUCGUAGAUUAAUAAUACUGACGUCUGCAAGCUUGAUUUCAAAACUUUUUACCCGCUGAUUUUGCAUGUACUUGAGGAAUGAUUUAACCAAUUAGUCUGUAUAUUCGAGAAUUUAUUUCGACUGAUAUUUUAGGUACUAUUCAUGAUGAAAUGCAUGUCAUGCUCGGACAAAAUUGGGGUAUGACAGUACCCCUUGCCUUUUUCAUGGUAAGAUUCUUUGGUUUACUUCUUCUUGCUUACCUUUUCUAAGUAUCCUCUGCCUUUUGCAUAGGAAAAUAUAUUUCUACCUUCACUUACCUUUUUAAAGUAUUCUUCGUCUUUUACAUUAGAAGAAUGUAUCUCUCCUUUGCCUUUUACAGAGGAGAAAUUACUUCAUCCUAUACUUUCCUUUUGUAAGCCCUUUCCUCCCUUUACACGAGAAAAGUCCUUCAUUGCCUUUUGCGUGAGGGAAUGCAUUUACUAUUCACUUGCCUUUCGCAAGUCUUACUAGCCUUUUGCUAAGGAGUUCUUAUCAUCUUUUGUAUGAGGAAACAUCUUCCUUCUUGGCCUUUUGCUAAGAAGUUCUCAUUUCAUUUUGCAUGAGAUAUCAUAUCCACCUUUAUUUGUCUUCUUGGCCUUUUGCCAAGCAGUUCUAAUUGCCUUUUUCCUGAGAGAGACUAAUUCAUUUUCACCCUUCUUCUUAGCCUUUUGUUAAGGAAUUAUCAUUGCCAUUUACAUUAGAAAUCACACUCACUUUCAACAUUCUUCUUAGCCUUCCACUAAGGAGUUCUCAUUUGCUUUUGCAUGAGAAAUCACAUUCACUUUCAUCCUUCUUCUUAGCCUUUUGCUAAUGAGUUCUCAUUGUCUUUUACAUGAGAAAUCACAUUCACCUUCAGAUAUCUUCUUGGACUUUUGCAUGAGGAAAUGUCAUACUCUUUUACUUCCCGUUUGCAAGUCUCCUCUACCUUUUGUAACAUAAAAUCUUGUCAUUCCCCAUAAAAGUCUCACUUGCCUUUUGCAAGACGUCUCUUCCUUUGGCAUGAGAAAACCACGAACUUUGGGAAUUACCCCUAUAUCCACUAUUACUUGCCUUUUGUAAGUACACAAUCAAUCCUCUUACCUUUGUUGAAUCCUGUGGGAAUAUCACAACUACCAAUACCUGCCAAAACUUGUUAAGUGCAGGCAAAAUAGAAAAAAACCCUAAACACUUAUACCUAUCUCUUCUCUUCGGGGUGCAAAUCUUUGGCAUAUUUUUAUUUAAUCCUCUUCUACCUUGAAUGCCUGAAAGCCAUUGUUAUUCAUACCUUCAAGUUUAAAAAGAUUAAAUAGGGGCAACUGUCAUACCCUAAAUUUGGCCUACCCUUAUUCAAUUCAUCUGGCUUAUAGCCUCCUGGUUUCAUCUACAUAUAUUUACCCCCAAUCACUCAUUUUUAGGAAAGAGAAUUCAUCCAUAUGCAUACAACCAUUCAUUUCCAUAAGAUAACAUUAUUAGUUCAAAAGGUUCAUGAUUUCAACUGGAUUAUCUUAACAUUUGGGAUAUUAAUGAUUUGAUUAGAUGGCUCUGAUUGUUGCUUAUGGAAUAAGAUGUUAUGAACUCCAAGUGGAUGCUACUACUAGGGUUUUGUUGUGCUUACUUAGGGAUUAAGUCAUUUUGGGAUUAUUAGUUGGUCAAAAUCAACUAUGGAAGGUUGACUUUUGUUGACCUAUUUAUUGGGACUCUCUUAUUCAAGUUGGAGUAUGACUACGUUUUUGGAAAAGGAAGAAAUUGAAGACAUUCACAUAAAAGUUGACUUUUGGUCAACAAGUCAAUCAUGGAAGGUUAACUUUUGUUCACCAAGUCAUUUUGAUUUGUUAAUUUACAGUUGACCAUUACUACUUUCCUUUGAAUACAUUAUGAUUUUAAUUGGACAAUGAUCCUUACGUGAUUAAAGCAUUGAAAAGGUGUGUUAAAUUCAAAUAAAAAAAUGGAGGGAAAAAUAUUUUAUUACUUUAAAAGAAAGUUACAAAGUCAACUACCAUGUACAAAAGUCAAUAUCCAUUUCAAAUUCAAGAACACAUUGCAAAAAUGGAGAGUACAUUCAAAAGUACGCAUUUUAGUUAUAGUUGACUUUUUAUCAAAUAAUGGACCAACAUUGACUUUCUACCCUAGACCUAUUUCUCUUAUAAAUCUCCAAGUAUUCUCCAUCUUCAUUUCAUCAUAACUGCAUUGUCUUUAAAGAUUGCAUCCCAUGUUCAAAAGUCUCAAAACUUCAUGUCCAACCAUGCCAAAACUUCAUGCCAGACCAGCCCAAAACCUGUUGCAUACCUGCAACCAAUAUCCAACCUGCAUUCAUCACAUGCACACUUCAAUACAACAACAUACAUAAUAGAUCCAUAUCAUAACAAACCAUAUCACACACACAAUGUAAUGCUUAUGACAGGUCACAUUUCAAAACACACUAAACCACAUCACAACUCCGAUCAAGAAAACCAAGAGCAACACAAGUAAAAAAACAAAUUAUGUAUUCAUUCACAAUAUCCACUUAAAUUAAAACUAUUAAGUCAUACUCAUAUUCCAUACCAAUUGACAUUCAAACUUAGGACAGGUUUCAUAAUUUGAUGCAAGUUUUAAGCAAAGCAUACAUGUCAUGCACAUCAGGAUUCACAGUUUAAUGCAGUACAUCAAUGGAAUUUAAAAGAAGGCAAGUGCAACCACUUUAGUUCAUGCUAAGUCCUCCUAAUUCUAGAAUUCAAAAAGACAAUACAGAUCAAUGUUUGCAUCUAGCACAAUCCAUUAUUAUAAAAUUAUCACACAUAGAUGGUAGCCAAGGCAUAAAAGCCAUACAUACAUACAUUGUCAUAAUUCUAAUUAACAUAAUCAAUUUCCAACCUAACAAACUGACCUGACUUGGAAUUAACUACUUUAAGUCAUUCCCAACAAACUAAAAAACCCUAAACUAACUAUCAAAUGAAACUUCCCUCAACUGUUAAAUUUCAGUUAUUUAACCAACUUCCCUAACCAAACUAACUGCCCAAGGUAGUUAUAACCUCAUUGCAUUUUCCCACCAAAAUUAGUUUCAAACCCUAACAACCUAUUAACUACCAAACUAACACACUCCUUAUUCAAAUUUUACACUAAAACCAAUUGGAAAGAAACAUAAAUUCCUCUUUUACCCAAUUGUUACUCUGUCAAACUCUCACCCCAAACCUCACAAAAACUCACUCAAAGCUUCCUUAACCAACCUCUUCAGAGCUAUCAAUAAAGCUAUGAAUGAGGUGAAGCAUAACCCUCAUCCACAACCAUAGUAGUUCCAUCAUCAUCAAGACCUCAACAAAACUCUACAUCAGUUCAUCAUCAAUCCUAAUUCCUAUCUCUAUUGCCUAUUCUAUUCUACUCAUCAUCAUCACAACAUCAACAACAACAAUCUCAUUAACAAUAGUUCCAAGAAUUUUUUUUAUAAAAAAAAGGUAGAAGAAGAAGCAAGGAUAAAGACUCAUACAUUAUAGUUGAAGCCUCCUCUCUGGGUUUCUUAUCCAUUAUCUUCAAGCUAUUCUACAACUCUGACCAACGCACUUCUCAACCUUGUAGGUAAACAUGAGGACCCCUUUUUUUCAUCCUUUUUUCUCCAUUCUUAAUAUUGCAUGGUAGAGCUUGCUUGUCUAAAAAGAACCCCCUUUGUUGCAGCUUGAGUUCAGGAGUGUGGGCUAUUUAAUUUAAGUUCUAAAGAUUUUUAGGGUUUAAGUUAAGCUGAGAUUUUAGGGAUUAGGUUUAGUUUUUGGUUUGAUUGAGGUUUGGACGAGGAUAAAUGACAAAGUUAUCUUCAUAUUGGUGGUGGUUUGGAUGCAUUCUAGGCUGCUCUGCCACCAGAGACGAUUUUUGACGCGACGACAAUGAUUUUAGGUGAUCAGAGAGUGGGAGGAGAGGAAGAUUAGGGACAAAGUGAUAAAUGAGGGAGUUUCUCUCCCUUUCCCCUUUCUGACUUCUCCUAUUGGGUUAGGCCCAAUGGUGUUCUACCCCACACACACCACCUAAUAUGCUUUUACACCCUUAUCUGAAUAAUAAAAACAAUAACAAAAAUACAUUAGGCCCAACGCCCCAUAGUUCCUUCACACCCAUUUUUCAACUCUGCACCUCCUUGGCAACUUUAUUUUAUUUAUUUAUUUAAUUCUUAGGAAAUUCUUUGUUAAAUUGUUAAUUUUUUUAAUACAUCAAAACAACUUCUAAUGGUAAUUAGGUUUAGUCUUAACUAAUUUUAGGAUUAAACUUCUUAAUUAGGAUUAUAUUAGAAUAAGGUUAAUUAAUGUUUUGAUUAAUUUGAUUGUUGGUGUAAGCCCUAGAGGCCAAUACUUUCGGUACUUGUAUCGAAUUAUUUAUUAAUAAUAAAAGGUUUUUUCUUUAUUAUGUUUGUUUAACAAAGUCCCUAGAAUAGCUAGUCCGUUUAAUGUAUCAAGCGUGACUUAAUCAUGAGAUCCCAUUAAACAUAAGGACAUUAUUCUUAAAGUAUCCGUAGUCGAGCUUUGUUGUAAAGUGGGAUAGUAUUAAAGCAUUAAGACUAUUAUGUAUAUAGACUGAUGAUAAGAUCUCAUGGAUCAUGGAUAAGGAGUUAUCAAGUCUUAAACAUAGGUAUGAAUAUUAAGAGUAAUAUUUAUACUGGAGUGACCCUCUAUGAGAAUACUAUAUAGAAUGUUAUGCAAAGUGUCAUAAGUUAUUCUCAUGGUGAUAGUGGUGUAUACCACCCUUCGACCUGAAACCACUAUGGACCCUAGAUAUAGAGUCGAGUGUCUUAUUGUUGAUCAAACAUUAUCUGUAACUGGAUGACCAUAAAGACAGUUGAUGGGUACUCCACGAAGCAUGCUGAGGGAUAUGAGUGACCUAGAUGGAAUUUGCCCAUCUUGCGUAACAUGAUAAACGUCUAAGGGCCCAAUAUUGAACUAGACAAGGAUGACACGGUAUAUUCCUUGUGUUCAAUAUAGACAUAAGGGCAAAAGUAUAAUUGUACACAUAAGUAUUAUCACAAAAGGAUUUGUCAGAUUACAUGACAUUUUCGUGUCUUGGGUAGCAGUGAUGUGUUGCUAGAUACUGCUCACUUUUUAUCAUGUUAAAUACGUGAUUUAAUAUAAUUACCAAUGUCACGAGAACCAACAGGGCCACACACAAAGGACGAAUUGAUGAGAUAUAGAGUAAAUAAGGAACGCCGUAAGGUACGGUGCACUUAAGUGAAUUAUAGAACAUCGUAAGGUACGGUGCACUUAAGUAGAAUACGAAAUAUGGUAAGGUACCACGUGCUUAAGUGAUUUUGGUAUAUCAUAAGAUAUGGGCCACAUACACUUAAGUGGGCUUUUUAGCUUACAACCCACACAAGUGUUUCUAUAAAUAGAACCCUUGUGCAAAAGCAUUUAUUCAUAUGAAAUUUCGUUUCUCUCUUUCUCUCACUCAAAGCCUUCAUUCGUAGCAGCUAGCACUGAGAUUGAAGGAAUCCGUUCGUGUGGACUGAGUAGAGGCGUGGUCACCAUUCAACGUUCGUGAUAACUCCUUAGAUCUACAUCAAAGGUUUCAAUCGUCAUAAAAGGUAACGAUUCUAUCAUUGAUCAUGCCCAUUUGUAAGGAUCACUAAAGGAGAAAUUUUAAAUUCCGCUGCAUUUUGGAUCGCUAUUCUCCUUCAUUGAUGACUUAAGGAUAUUAGUAAUGUUAAUUAAUCUUUUGAUUAGUUAAUGGUAGGAUAAAAACCCUAGGGUGAAUACUUUGGAACAAUUACAUGACAACAUUAGGUAUUUUCCCAUUUUAAUCAUGUCAAACUAAAGGUUUUUUUUAAAUAAAUAAAAAAUACUUAGAGAACACGAUGUGAAUUAUGCACCAUGAUCCUUAAGAAAUGGAGAAAAAUGAGAGGGUGUAUUCCUAUCCUUAUUCUGAAUAUCAUUGGAUAUAGGAUGCAUGACCCAAUUGUUCAAAGUGUUCACCUCCAUUCAUAGACUUUAGUGAAAUUCAAAUCAAUACAAUUUUCAUAAUUAAAGGAAGAAAAAGGAGGAGGAUGUAGACUCUCUCUCCCCAAAUGUUCAGUCACUACUAUAGAGCUCCCUAUCUAAAUAUUCGUCUUCAAACUAAAAUCAAUCAUAACCAAUCCAAUUCAAUUUUCUUCCUUAGGUUAUUUAAAAGCUUGUUAAUAAAGGAUAUGUUAUUUUUGUUCUACCGUAAUACAAACAACACUUAAACCUAUAAGAACACGAACAUUAACAUCGUUCAAUAAAAUAACCAACAAACACUUACUUUCUACCGCAUGAACUACGGAGCUCUGAUUUUCUCAUUGCACUAUGGGAAUAUGCAGGCACAUGAUUUUGAAAUCUUGUGAGCACAUUAAUUAAAAACUUCAUUUUCCCUUAAUUAAAACCAAUCACAAGUAACCUUUUGAUAAUAACACCCAUAUGCGCAAAACAAUCAAAACAAUUCUCAUUGAGUACAACGGAUGUGAGGGAUGCUAAUACCUUCCUCGUUGUAUAAUCGACUCCCACCCGAAUUUCGUUGCAUCGACCAUCUUCUUUUCUUGUAAGGGUUUUAUCGAUAUUUUUUCUUUCCUUUGGAAUAAAUAAAGUUCGGUGGCGACUCUGUAUUUUUUGCAGCGUGACAAACCCAUAAAGAUUGAUUAUUUGAUUUUUCUGGAUUUACAGGGUAAGUGGGGGGGAUUAUUCAUAUAAGGGUUACUUAACCAUGAAAGGGUAGAGAGGUUUCGCUUAACCUGUAAUAUGGUUCUCUUUUCCAUAUUGUUUGAUGUUAAUAUGAUAGAUGAUGAUUGUGAUUAUAUUUUUAUCCCCUGAAUUGAUGGAAAAUUCAUGUUUGGUGUUAUGGUACUUUAUGUUCAUGAGUUAAAUGAUUAAAUGAUGAAUUUGUGUUGAAAUUAGGUGUUUUAGGGUGUGAACAUAAUUUGAGUUGAUUCAUGAUAAAAGUGAUGGAUUAAGUGUUUAAUUAUACUAGGAUGUGUAUUCGAUGUGGUGUUGUUAUUUGGUGAGGGAAUAAGGAAGAUGAAAUUACUUGUGAAAACUGGGAUUUUCAAAUUUUGGGUUGAUUUCAAUCGAUUGACAUCUUGUGUCAAUCUAUUGCAUGCAUGUCGUUUUGGAAAAAUCUGAAAAAUUGAACUAUGUCAAUCGAUUGAUUCCUUAAAUCAAUCAAUUGCUCUCAGCCAAAACAUGAAAAGUUGGAAAGGAAGAAUGUAAUAGGUAUUGAUGUCAAUGAUUGCAUCCAUAUGUCAAUCUAUUGACACUAGUUGAUUUUUGAAAAAUUACUGAACGAAAUCAUAUUUUUACCCGAUUAUUUUUGCCAUAACUUUAGUUCCGUAAGUCUAAAUAAGGUGCGGUUUAAAGCGUUGGAAAGCUAACGCACAAAGCUACCUCAUGGUAGUUUCUUGUGAGAUAAAUUUAUAUGUUUGAGUGAUGUUUGAGUAUAUGUUCGAUGUGUAAAUAUGCGUUGUGAAAUGAUAGUAUAAUUAAGUGAAUUAUUGUGCAUGCUGGAUAAUUAAUUGAUGAGAUGAGUAGUUCAGAGUGAGAACUAGUGGUGAUCCAUUGAAUACAUGAUUGUUUGCAGUCAUAAGUGGGGGUGAUUCAUUGUUAUUUUGUUGUUGUUACAUGAUUGUUUACAGUCAGAUGUGGGGAUGUAUUUAUUUGUUAUAUUUUUGUCAUUGCUUUGUUAUAUGCCAUGCAUCAUAUGAUGUUGUGUUGUAAAAGAGGUGAGUCAAAAUUUUAGAAAGGGGACUAGUGACUUGUCCCUAGCUCAGAAUGGAGGCUUGGAGCUGAGAAUUGGGGCUCGGGGUUCAGAGAGGGGAUCAGGUUCUUAUGAAGAACCAUUUAUUGAGUCAGUACCAUAUGCAUGAGUUGAGUCGAUGUUGCAUUGUAUUACAUAACAGUUGUACAUAUGUGAUGUUUUAGAGUUAUUGAAUGCUCUUGUGUGUAAUUGUGCGAUCUUAUAUGUGAUGAAUAACAUUGUCAUUGGUGAUUGAUCAUGGUGUGAAUGAAAUAUGAAUGCGUGAUAUGGUGGUGCAUGUUCGAAAUGUGUAUGACUUAUGAUGCAUGAAUCUACCCUGAUUGUUUUUGUGCACUAAUUAUCAUUUGAAUGUAUUCUCACUCACUUUUUAUGUUGUUGUGCCUAUGCUCCUCUAGAGUACAGACAAUCAGGUACUUGAGUAGGAGUUUGAUGUAGAUGAUGGUGUUGUGCCUCUUUAGUUUCCUGUCGAUCUAGUUUAUAGUUGGAGUCGCUUUUAUAUGUAACACGAGGGGAACAUGUUGUUCUUUUAUUUUUUUCUUAUGUUGCAUAUAGUUCCUAUGUUUGGAUAUUGAACCACUUUUGAAACUUAUUGUUGUUGAUGCUUUUCCUGCUGACUAUUUUAUAAUUUUCGCUUCUUAUCAAAUGACUCAAUUUUCAAUUAUGUGGUUCAUGUAUGUGUUGUUGAUGUAUGAGUAGAAUUCUAAUUGAAGGAAUUUAUAUGAUGAUAUAUAUGCUUUAAUUGAUUAUUUUUCGAGUCGGGAAGUAGGGUGUUACAUAGUGGUAUCAGAGCAGGUCAGUCCAUCCGAUGAGGUUUUAUAAUGUUGAUUGUUCCCUAGUAUGCGACAUGUGUGUGGACAUUAUCGAUGUGUUGUUUCUUCUUAUGUCUUUUUGCUGGUGUGCAUAGUAAUGGUUGGAAGAAACGAUCGGGCGAUUGCUGAUGCUUUAGAAGCGAUGGCUCAGGCACUGUAGGGUCAGCAGAAUCAGGUUGUUGAUGAAUUAUGUUGAUUGGGGAAGUUUCAAAGAAACAACUCGCUGACCUUCACGUGCAUAUAUGAUCCAGAGGGUGCACAUGUAUGACUUAGAGAGAUUGAGAAGAUCUUUCGAGUGAUGGUUGUCGCAUCCGCGAAAAACAACCGGCGGGAAAACAAACAAAUAGAGCCGCCACCGUGCGUUAUUUAUCCCAAAGGAGGGAAAGGAAACGCUCGAAGUAAACCUGGAAAGGAAAUGGUCUUACGACCGGAGAUUGCAAGGAUCGGGAGUCGGUUACGAGUUACGCAAGGGGAAGGUAUUAGCACCCCUCACGUCCGUCGUACUCGACGGGAUCCACGCUCAAAAGAAUAGAAUAAGGUUGCUGAUAAAAAACUGCUCAAAGAAUGCACACACACUGGAAUAAGCAUACAGGCGAAGGAAGACAGAGGAAGGUGACUCGGCAGGAUGUCACAUCCUGGGCCUACGUAGUUUGUCAGAAACAAACAUCAGAGUCGACGUAGUUCGGGGAAAUGGGGAACGUGCUCGCUAGGAUAUCGCAUCCUAUGCCUACGUAUCUUUCCCUAUCCAGAGAAAGAAUCAAAACACUCGUAGUUCGGCUAACGCACGCCGAAAUAAACACAUGCACAGACGCUGAGACGUCAAAGCAAACACGCAAAUGGAAACAGACUGCCAAUGGCUGGUCUUUCGUCCGACUCCAAACAACAAACACAAACAAGGAAACCGAAUGCCAAUCGCUGGACUUACAUCAGACUCCGAACACACAAACAAACACAGGAAACCGACUGCCAAUCGCUGGACUUACAUCAGACUCCACACAAACAACCAACAAACGGGAAACCGAAUGCCAAUCGCUGGACUUACAUCAGACUCCAAGCACACAAACAAACACAGGAAACCGACUGCCAAUCGUUGGACUUACGUUAGACUCCACACAAACAAGAGGGUUAAAAAAAGAAAAAGGGCGAACACACAGGCUAGAAGGGAGUCGGUAACUCGGACCUAAUAGCUGUCAAGCAAAACACACGCAAAAAAAGGAAAAGGGUGCCCGGAGAGAUCUCGCACGAUCUCCUGCCUACGUACCUCAUCUGGUAUGAGGAUCAGGGCAACGUAGUUCCCCUUAAUAGGGAAAAAACUUCUAUCCUAACCAGAGACUAGGGAGAUAACAAGCGACUAGGGAGACUACGACUCGAGCCUAGAAGUUGUCAUGCAUACGGUCCCUAAGUUGAGGUCUCUAGUCCUAACUCGCACAGGAAGCAAGCUAGCCUAAACAGCACAUAAGCAAACACAAGCACAAGAGAGCAAGCACACACACUAUAUGCAAACAAAUGGCUCAUACAAGGCUGGGCUUUAGUCAAGGGGUCAUGUCAACCUCGACAAAUAAGCCGGUUCUGUUAUGGGUGUUUUGAGCUCUUAACCCUAACAUUGAGAGUUAGGGUGAAGCAGAUGAAAUGGGAAUGAGGGUAAGACCUCAUAGCUCUUAUCCCUGGCCUGGGAGAGCUUCAAUCAAUGGAAAGUGUGGGAGCCCAAAUAAGGAACUCUACUCCACAAAUGACUUGACUCUAUACAAUGACUUUGGUGUUUUAUCAACUGCAUCAACACACACAGUGGGCAAGAUGGAAAGACUCCUUGAAUAGCAGGGAUGGAUUGCACAUCCUUCUAUUGCCAUGCCUCUCAUUAGGAGUUUUUACAUGUACAAAGCAACAAAGAUAAACACCACAACAUUAGCCUUAGGAGGGCUUCAGACAGUGCUGCCAGAUAAACAUGACAGGUUUCAAAUACAUGGAGUAUAAGAGUUACCUGGUGAGUAUGCCACACCACAGCAAGCAAGCACUCUAAUAGGUAAAGCGGCUAAAAGUACUGUGAAGAAAGCUAAUCAAUAUUUACAUUCAGACAAUCAACAUCAACAACAGUCGACAACCAAUCAUAGAAACAAUGGUGCAAGGCAGUACGAUGCAAGGCAAACCAAAUUUGAUUCAUCCAAAAGACCUUACAAAGCAGCAAAGGUUUAGUCAACCAAACAACUUGUAUCUCAGAGUGAUGAGAUCCAUAUAACCAAUGUGGCUAUUGCUUGAAACCUGAAAUGCAAAGCUCAAAUUGUGAGUCCACCCACUACUCAAAGGCUAGGGUCAAAGGUAAAUCAAAAAAGUCAAAACAGCAAUCAAUAUAAACACAAGGCAUGUUUAUUCAAUCAAGAGCAUGUCUAAAAGAAACCAAUUCAAAUCAUUAAGCAAAUUCAUCAUCCAACCAAGAGAAGGCAAUGCACACACAUGAUCAUCAAUUGGACAUACAAGAUGAGAAAAGGCAUAUUAAAUCAGAAAUGGCUCAAACAAUUCUGUAAUUUUUUAUGAGCAUACAACAUAUCAACCCAAAUCAUCAUGCCAAAAAUUAAACAGAAGGAGCUCAAUUGAUAAGGCAAUGAAAAUGAAUAAGAUCAACAUCAAAUUGUGUGACACACAUUGUCAUACCAUAUUAGCAUGUGCAUAAAACAGAGAUGACAAAGGCUAAAAAUGCACAACCAAGCCUAAAACAUCACACAACAUGUUGAGAAUCAGCACACAAAAUUUCAUGUCAAUUGGAUAAGUAUUGAGCAUUUCACAUCAAUUUGAAUGAGGCAUGGUCCAUUUGUAUACAUGUUCAAACAAUUCAACACAUUUUAAUUUCCAGAAAUGAUAAAAUCUUAAAAUCAACACCAUAAAAUUCUAGACAUUCACAUGAACAAGUAGAAAAAAGUUGGGAAUUAAUUGGAUUAUUAUUCUAUUUUUAAGGAUUUUUUGAAAUUGGCAUGAAAUGAUGAAAUAAGAAUUGAAGCGUGUGCGCGCGCCUGAACCAGACAAACCCUAGCAUGGUACGCGUAUGGUACGCGUACAGUCCCAACCAUAGCAUGUGGUACGCGUACGGUACGCGUACGGUACGUGGUGGUUUCCACCAUCUUCUUCGCGAAGACGGCGGAGAAACAGUGAACAGCUGUAGCACCUCAAAUUUGCACUCCCCAUUUGUACAUUCAUUUCAUUUUUAGGUCAUUGACAUCACACUAACAUCACAUUAACAUUACCUUGUCAUUGCAUAUCAUGUUGCAUCUUAUCAGUCAAGACUGGUAUCAAGAGGAUUCAUCUGUGCAAGAGACCAAGCAUUUCCAUGAGAUGAAGGCCCUAUGGUUGUUCUAGAGAGCUUAUGUGAAUCAAGGAUCAUUCUGAAGCAACUUGACCAAAGGUUAGAGGCUCAAAAGUCAUCAGUACAUGUCCAAGUCAUAUGAGGCCCAUAAAAGUCAACUGAAAGUCAACUGAGGGGUAGGAGGUGGAGAAAUGGUUUGAGACACUUUAUUCAUGUCCCAAAGAGGUUCAUUCAUCAUGACAAGUGUCCACAUUGAAGAUUUUGAAGCCAGAUCAAAAGUUUCCAAAAAUGGAAAGUGACCUGUAAUUUGAAUGUUUCCAAAAAUGGCAAGUUUUUGGACCAACUUCAACUCAACUUUCCAACAUCAAAAAAGCUUCAAAUGAAUUUUUGUCCAACAUUAAAGUUGAAUAUCUCUCUCUCCCAUUUCCAAAAAGUCGAAGAUCAUGAAUUUAUGAUGAAUGGUUAAGGAGUUAUGAUCAA
This 30408-nucleotide long non-coding RNA is filed under the name Lathyrus oleraceus (garden pea). Its description in RNAcentral is "Pisum sativum (pea) long non-coding RNA (PSAT_LNC035545)". The record is from RNAcentral. Lineage: Eukaryota; Viridiplantae; Streptophyta; Magnoliopsida; Fabales; Fabaceae.